AGAACGGUGUUGCGGCUGCAACCCGGAUCAGUUGGAAACUACUUUUCUAUUUCUGGAUAGCAGCCUCCCCAGAGUCACCAGACACAGGCAAUCUAAAGGAUCACUAUGUUGUUCGUGUAGGACAUGGAGCGAUCAUUCCCGCUGCUUGCAUAGAGUUUUGGCUGUGUAAGCUCCGGCUCCGCCCGAACAAAGCACGAGCGCGGACGUACUCUCAAGCCGAAAUUGCGGGGCAAUCACUCGCUACGGCACGUGUUUUGUCAGGCAGCACGGAUCGUGAGCUGUGCAAUAGCUUGAUCUUGCCAAGAAAAGCAACCUCAAAAGGGCAGCUUCUUCGAGACGCUCAAGCGGGAGGUUGCUUGCACUGCGAGGGUGGCGUUACCGUGAAACGGCUUGAAGGGUGACCUGUUCAACGCCUCGAAGUCGAGGGCACUCUCAAGCUACAUGCUCCCAUUACGGAGGCAUGCGGUUAAGAGCCUCUGAGUUGGCGCUACUACGAAUGGCAGCGCCUGUACACACAGCAUACCAGAAUAAGCUGAUACGGUUGUAUCUACACAAAAACUUACGGGCAUCGCGGCCCAUGGAAGCGCGCUCCCUGGUGCACCAGUGCGUGACAUAUGCCCACCUGAAUGGAUACGGCGCUCUCACACGUAUGCCCAGUAUCGAUCGAAACACAGGAAGCCGCCAGGGUCAGUGGCGGACGGGAGCGAGCGGAACCUUCCGUGACAAUAAGAGUUAUUCGCGCCCCAAAAGCACGUAUCACGAGUAGGGAUACAUACCACAUCACGCCGUACAUCCUUAUUGUCGGGUCGCUUGGGCUCGCUGGUGAAUCCGACGUCCCGAAAUAGCGUACCAGCACCGUGGCACUAGACAUUAUGAAACAGGAAUGCACCCAUUUGAGAUGCAUUACACGGAUUAGCCGGUUUCGAGUAACCGGCUCAUCCACAGUGGGCAAGCCUCCACAUCACGUCUCGAAAACGCUCGUUCUCGGGGCUUUUCUGGAAUCUCCUACACUGCGGACGGGAAUCGGUCGCUGAUGCGAACUCCGGAGCGAAUGCUCCCCCGUGCACUUCCUUGUUUCCCGUAGCAUCAGUUCCAAGCGCCUCAUCCAGGUGGGAUCUGUGAUGAACCGACUGCCGCUCUGUAUAAUAAUCCUCAGCAGCUCGCAUGCGUCGCUCCAGAUACGUUGAGCAGCGGAAUCAGCAUCGCAUCCAGGUAGAGGCUUAAGCGCUGUUCACUGCGUUAUCUCCCCAGCAUACUCGCGACACGCUGCACACGAAUGCCUCGCGGAAUAGUGAAACGGCUUCGUAGCAGGCUUUGACAACGACGCGGAUCUAUCGUUGAGAUUCGUGCGUAUCUAGAGUAUCUUUCUGUCCGCCAGCUUCAGAGCGGCUACGCAUACGAGCCGCCUACCCUUCUUCAAGGCCAUUCGCGGAACUUCUCGAGCCAGGGUCCGCACUGUGCGAGCUAUAUAAAGUCGCCGCAAAUAAUGCGCAAGACACGGAGACGGUACACUUGCCAAGUCGGCCAGUUGCUGCUUUGCGAAGCCAGCUGGCCGUUUAUGGAUGACGGUGAUCAGCAUAGGUCUGCGCUUUGCAUCCGCGCUGAUUCGUUUUCGUUUCCAACGAGUCGAGUUAGGUGGCUCACGCCACGCGACCAGAACGCGACUAUCAUACUCGACGCGUCUUGGUCUCAAUGACCGCGCACGGUCACAUUGCUUGUCGUCUUUUUACAGUACCUCCUACGCUGUCUCUUCGUUGAGUGUCAGGAAAUCACGGUCGAUAGAUGCCAACAAACGGAAGUUGGCGAAACCGCUCAUCGCAAUCUAGACCAUAACCGACUACAAAUCGAUCGGGGCAGACGAAUCCCACGUAUCGCACUUCUGGUACCCCUUCGUCUUUGCGUUCUGUUUGUUUCGAGAUAAAGGCGCAAAAGUGCACACUUAAGGCGCCGCGACGCCCGAGUUCUUCGUGAAUUGCCUUGAGUGUCUUGCCUGUGUCGACAAUAUCCUCAACGACGAGCACAUGCUUAUCGCGGACGUCCAACAAAUCAAAGUCAUGCAGCCAUACGGACCCAGUGGAAUGUGUUCCAGCAUAUGAUUUAGCGCGUGCAAAGUAAAUUCGCACUGGGUGGGUAAUCUUCCGUACGAGAUCAGCAAGAAAAAUAAAGCUGCCG
Molecule: RNA transcript, 2172 nt
Organism: Cyanidioschyzon merolae strain 10D
Lineage: Eukaryota; Rhodophyta; Bangiophyceae; Cyanidiales; Cyanidiaceae
Exons: 1
Source: RefSeq, a predicted model, not a curated record